AGCUAGUUGGUGGGGUAACGGCUCACCAAGGCGACGAUACAUAGGGGGACUGAGAGGUUAACCCCCCACACUGGUACUGAGACACGGACCAGACUCCUACGGGAGGCAGCAGUGAGGAAUAUUGGUCAAUGGACGCAAGUCUGAACCAGCCAUGCCGCGUGCAGGAUGACGGCUCUAUGAGUUGUAAACUGCUUUUGUACGAGGGUAAACGCAGAUACGUGUAUCUGUCUGAAAGUAUCGUACGAAUAAGGAUCGGCUAACUCCGUGCCAGCAGCCGCGGUAAUACGGAGGAUUCAAGCGUUAUCCGGAUUUAUUGGGUUUAAAGGGUGCGUAGGCGGUUUGAUAAGUUAGAGGUGAAAUUUCGGGGCUCAACCCUGAACGUGCCUCUAAUACUGUUGAGCUAGAGAGUAGUUGCGGUAGGCGGAAUGUAUGGUGUAGCGGUGAAAUGCUUAGAGAUCAUACAGAACACC
This 470-nucleotide ribosomal RNA is filed under the name uncultured bacterium. Its description in RNAcentral is "bacterial SSU rRNA". It matches the Rfam family "Bacterial small subunit ribosomal RNA", at positions 243 to 710 of the family's 1533-position model. The record is from RNAcentral.